AGUGAACGCUGGCGGUAGGCCUAACACAUGCAAGUCGAACGGCAGCACAGUAAGAGCUUGCUCUUACGGGUGGCGAGUGGCGGACGGGUGAGGAAUACAUCGGAAUCUACUUUUUCGUGGGGGAUAACGUAGGGAAACUUACGCUAACACCGCAUACGACCUACGGGUGAAAGUAGGGGAUCUUCGGACCUUGCGCGAUUGAAUGAGCCGAUGUCGGAUUAGCUAGUUGGCGGGGUAAAGGCCCACCAAGGCGACGAUCCGUAGCUGGUCUGAGAGGAUGAUCAGCCACACUGGAACUGAGACACGGUCCAGACUCCUACGGGAGGCAGCAGUGGGGAAUAUUGGACAAUGGGCGCAAGCCUGAUCCAGCCAUACCGCGUGGGUGAAGAAGGCCUUCGGGUUGUAAAGCCCUUUUGUUGGGAAAGAAAAGCAGCAGGUUAAUACCCCGCUGUUCUGACGGUACCCAAAGAAUAAGCACCGGCUAACUUCGUG
This 492-nucleotide ribosomal RNA is filed under the name uncultured bacterium. Its description in RNAcentral is "partial 16S ribosomal RNA". It matches the Rfam family "Bacterial small subunit ribosomal RNA", at positions 29 to 507 of the family's 1533-position model. The record is from RNAcentral.